RNAcentral lists this small RNA (99 nucleotides) under Mytilus galloprovincialis (Mediterranean mussel). The record is from RNAcentral. Lineage: Eukaryota; Metazoa; Mollusca; Bivalvia; Mytilida; Mytilidae.
AAGCUCCGACGGCAUCAAUUGGUGAUUUGAUGGUCGCUAACGCGUCGACAGUAACCUUAAUUUGCGACUAUCAAACACCAAUUGAUGCUGUCGGAGCUU